This is a long non-coding RNA of Corapipo altera (White-ruffed manakin), 641 nucleotides long. RefSeq lists it as uncharacterized. The transcript is spliced from 2 exons. Lineage: Eukaryota; Metazoa; Chordata; Aves; Passeriformes; Pipridae. The record is from RefSeq and is a predicted model, not a curated record.
CCUUGGUGACAUCCUGUUGCCCUGUCCCUGCAGACAGAUGUGGAGGCGGUGGUGGCCGACCUGGUGAAGCUGGUCCACAGCGCGGGCGCUGAGAGCCGGAGCAAGGCCGUGCGCCCCAAGGCACUGCUGGACAACUGCCUCAAGGUCAUGCGGAUGCUGUACGGAGUGCCCUGUCGAUGGGAGUCCACCUAACGCUGCAGAAGACCCCUCACUCGACACCUUCUCCUUGCCCUGGAGCCUCGGAUGCUGCCUCUGCUCUGCCACUCCCAGCAGAGCCCCAGGGGUGUUCCCAAGGAAGGUGCAAAGGUGGGACAAAUGCCACCUCUUCUGGGACCAAACAUCACUCCUUCCAGGACCGUGGGACUGUUCAUGGCCGUGGGGUUUUGCCCAUCCAAAAUGCCUGGCACCUUCAGCAUGGGUGUAGGGUUGGACAGAGCCCCCCAUGAUGGGCAGCUGUUGAGGGGGACACGCUGCCCUCCCUGCCCACACGAAGGGUGAGGGCAUCACCCCAUUCCUCUCUGUUUGUAUUUUCCCCUCAGCUUUCAUUAAACAGCAGUUAAUUCUCUAGCAUUGCAGCUCAGCUUCUGACCGGGUCCUGGGAGCCUCCAGCCUCACCCAAAAUAAAGGACCAGCAAAGAGAA